GAUCCAGCGAUGAUCCAAUUCUAUGAUCCAGCCUGAUUUGUCUUGUAACACUUUAGUUGCACCUGAAAAUCUACCGACAUUCAAUCUGCAAUACAUUCAGUGUCAUGUAAAAUAAUCUCAGUUCCCAAGGAAUUUGUGGUCAGAGGGGGCAACACUGGGCCAAAGUGAUUGUACCCUUGGCCUAGAGGAUGGUUAUGAAGCACAGACGUUGUGACUUGUUUGCUGUCAUGGAGUGAGGGCAGAACCUCCCGACUCAGUAUCAGUGAAUAAAGUUCUUGGUUUGUUGUUUGUUU
This is a non-coding RNA of Sturnus vulgaris (Common starling), 293 nucleotides long. The record is from RefSeq and is a predicted model, not a curated record. Lineage: Eukaryota; Metazoa; Chordata; Aves; Passeriformes; Sturnidae.